Molecule: long non-coding RNA, 6269 nt
Organism: Corvus hawaiiensis (hawaiian crow)
Lineage: Eukaryota; Metazoa; Chordata; Aves; Passeriformes; Corvidae
Exons: 6
Source: RefSeq, a predicted model, not a curated record
CUUUCUGAAUGUCAGAACCUCUCCCAGCACUGCCUCUUUUCAGUUUGAAUUGAAUUCUUGUUCCUCGUCAAGGACUGGGCAUGAUGAGUUUUUAGAUACUCCUCUGAACAGACACUGAGUAUUUGAGAAGCUGAUCAGUGAAAUUCUGACUUGUCACAGUUCGUACAUUGUCCCGGCAUCUUGGCAGCAGCGCUGGGAAGCUGCGCUGGUGAAUCCAGGUCCCCCAGUCUCCGAAGGAAGCACCCCUGAACGGGUCCCUGGGAUUAGGCAGGAAGCAGAGGUUUUAAUGAAGUAGACUCUAUUCUUCCAAGGGGUGAAGGGAGCAAAGAAGGGCAAAAGGGAGCUGGCUUCUGUCUGCAGUCCUGCCUUUCAUUUGCAACUGUGUGUUAAGGAAUCAGAGGCCUUUCAAAACAUGGUUUUGUAAACUUUGGAGCCGAAAGGCCAACGGGAGCGAUACACCAACCUGAGAUAGCACUCUAGCAAGGAAGGCAAUGCUGUCACUGCAGAGAGACUUGGAACAGAAGAAGUGACACUUGCAGUUACUGAGGCUGUCAGUCCAAAUCCGUGUUGUUUUGGUACCCUGGAUAAAGAUCCGGCCAACUUAAGAGCUGGCGACACGCCACGCAGACAGAUGGACACAGUGAAAUAUAAAUAUUCAUUCUGACAGUCAUCUCACUAAGUGGAGACAUCUAAAAUGCAGAAGACUUUCAGUAUAAGACUUACGUUGCAGAAUAGGAGCAAAAAUCUGCAUAGGGCAAUGGAAUCAACCUGCCAGGCCUUGGCUGCAGUGGUGUUUGAAGGUGUACGUGAGCACAGACUGCAGACUGCAUCCCAUGCUUUAAGAAUUCUCCCCUUAAUGGAGGAAGAGAGCAGUGAGAUCAACAAGCAAAGUAGCUGAGUACAAGGAGGUCAUGCAGCAGCGCUGAGUUCUGCUGCAAAGCUACAAGGAAACCCUGUCAGCUUCCAUCCCAUUAAACGAGCCAGGAGCUAUGUGUUGGACUCACUGGGACUACCAGCAAACCCCUCCCAAGCUGUCUGCUGGCUCUUGCUCACAUCCUCUAUCAAUUAUUCAGUUCCUUUUAUGCAAAUAAUGUUUCAUGGAAGCAAUAGAGAUUCAUAAUGGGGAGAAGAGUAACAUCCAUUUAGGAGAAUUAAAUGGUAGAUGAAAAGCGUGACACUUUGCAGGCAAAAGCUAUUGAAGUGGUGCAGUACCAGGACUCUUCAAAUGCAUGCACAGAUGGGGAGAGUCAAAGUUUUGGUUGCUUUUUUUUGACAAUCAGCUCUAUAGAAGAUUAAGUAAGGUGGGAAUAGACACACACUGCAGCAUCCCCAGUUCUGCCCAGGGGACAGAGAAAUGAGGCCUCUGCAGCAGACCUGUCGGUGCUCUGCAGGCUCUAAGCUCUCAUUUUGUGUCUUACAGAGGAUCUGUGCAGCAAGCCAGGAUGCCAGUGUGUCUGUACUACAGAGAGGCUUCACUGCUCUUUAGAGUCAGGAGUCACAGAAACCAAGGGCCUUUCCUGCGUUCUUUUAUCAGGCAAAACAUUGGUUUCAAAGCAUAGAUGGGAUCAAAACUCUGCUGUAGCCCCAUUACACUUCACAGGGCCAAACUCAGUCCUACUUCCUUCUGAGAUUCUUCCCACAGAAGAGAUUGGUGAGUAAAUGCAGACAAUCCUGGGCGCAUCCAGCCAAAGAACCGACCGUGCCUCUGUUGCAAGCCUUUAAAUCCUUGUCUGGGAUUUUACUUGAAGGUUUAUCCCUUGUCUUGUCAGUCAGCUCAUGGUGGUUUUCCUGCUGAACUGUCUGUGGGCUGUUUGGCCACUUAUGUCUGGGUCUGCACUGUCAAGUUUGGAAGUGGUGGUACCCCACUAAUGCUGCCACACUGCAAAGGCUGUGGUGGAGCUGCCUGUCCUGAACACAAACAGAUCAGUGGUGGUGAGAACACAUCUGUCAUCCUGGGUGCUCCAAUAUCAGUUAAAGAAUCUUAUAAUAAUGUUGAAUUUUGUACCAGAAAACCAGUGUUUGAUAAGGCAGAAGCACAGAAAUAGGACCACAGCCUCAAGGCUUCUGUCGGUGUCCUGUUGCCCUUUGCUGCACUGCUACUCUUUGUGUGCAGGGAGUGUGAAUCAAAAGCAAACAAAAUGUUAUUAAAACACAGAAUCAUAGAACCAUUUAGGUUGAAAAGACCUUUAAGACCAUCAAGUCCAGCCAUUAACCCAGCUCUGUCAAGUCCACCAUGUCCCUUCUUUCAAUCUUUCAGCUUAAUUUGGGAGACAACAGCCAACUGCUAAGAAAGUUCUCACAUCUUCUGAAUUUCCUGGAACACACAUGCAAGAUCCAGUGUUGCAUCUGUGUCUUCUAGAUAUAAAGACAUCUCUUCUAAAAGCUUUGUAAUGCAAGUGCCCUGUAUAUUUAUGGUGCUUCAGCAUUUAACUAUCUUUAAUGACACUGUUUUUCAAAAUGGAAAUUUUUUGCUAAACCGGCAGAGACAGAAAGUGUGUUUUAAUGGAGUGCAGUUAGCCUCCAAAAGCGAAAGAGGCUUCCAUUAUAAAAUUCUGCACUUAAAGGAGCCCUGGCUAUAGGCAGAGAUGGAAAAUUGAAAGAGUAUUAUGCAUGAUAGAUAAGUUCAAGAGAAUUAAAGCAUAGAUAAAUUCAGAGAAUCAAAAAGAAGCCAAGCUUCUUUACAGGAGGUACAGGUGUACUUCUGAUUUCAUGUUUACCACACUGUGCUUUUGCAGCCCAAGGAGAUGGAAGCUCUUCCUCUGUAACAGGCAGUGCUCUCCCUCUCAGGAGGAGGCAGCAGGCCAUUGAAACUCCGUGACCUCGGGAAACUUUGGCUGCCUUAAGGCACAGGAUAAUUCUACUCAAGAUGAUACAAGGGUCUUUCUGUAGGGUUCAGAAUUACACACAGAGCACAACAGCAAAACGCCACUCUGAGAAAUCUCUGCACAGAACUGAACUCACUCAGCCCUUUCCUCUCCCCUUAUCCUGCUUAAGGCUGAUUGUUAAGUCCUGCCUUAAAAUCCAGUUGUUACCUGUGUGGGGCUGGAAGUGCCCUUGACAGAGAUCAGUAACACAAAGCCACGGGUAGCAAAUGCUGCACGAGCAGUUCUACUCUUCUUUUUCCUCCACACAGUAUUUUUGAACCUGUUCACUCAUAAGGGACUGUAUUCUGUUGUUUUUUGUUGUUCCUCUGCUUACUUCAGUUACAUUUGUGUUUCUCUCUCCUUCAGGCUCCCUUUAGAGGCGCAAACUGUGUUCCCACCCUUCUGGCUCAGAGAACACCUGAAAACUGCUGCCAGGUGAGAGCCAGGCAGUGAGCUGUGUGAUUCAAGUUUUCUGUACCCAAACCAACCCAAAAUUUCAAGAAUGGGACCUAAAUCUUUGAUUUAUCCCGGUGCAAAUCUGUCACAACGCAGCUGAAGUGUGUCAGCUCUUGUUCCCCAGUGCACUCCGAGCAUGUAUUGGUAGCCCCGAUGUGGAAAUUCAGCGGUACAACAAAGACACCUCGUGGCUGCCCUGCAAACCACACACAGACAAAGAGCUCGCCAGCCAGGAGGGGGAUGUCUGCUCUAGUGGCAAUUUUCACACUUACCUCGACGGCUACUUAAAAGUAUAGUUAAUACCAACCCCUCUUUCAUAUCAAUUCGGAGAAACAAAAAAUGAUACUAAUCAGUUGAAUACAUUAUAUUAAUAGUGAAGAAUAAAUAAUGUACUUAAUAGAAAUGUGAUGUUCGAUUCUGAAUUAAGCAUAGGAACUCAAAUUAUUAGGUAAAAAAAUAACCCUUAAAAAUUCUAUUCGAUAAUUUAAUUUGAUCUGAUAUGUGAAGUGAAUGCUGUGAAAAAUUCAUCAAGUCUAGAAGUAAGCUCCUGUAUUAUAGUUCUCUAAAGUCUUCUAAGAACUUUAAUUUCAUAGUGACAUGGUAAAUUAUCAACAUUUGCUUUUAAACUACUUACAAUUCUGUUAGAAUUCAGCAGGUACAUGUUUAUAGUUUUUUAUACCAGUAUCUAUUUAAAACCCCUAUAUAAUCCUAUAUGCUGUACCCCAAACACUUUUUAAAAAAAAAUAUAAUAUGAAAAGUGAAACGUAUUUUUUUUAAAUAGAUAGAAUAAUAAAGUCCAUAAUUACAUUCAGAUGUAGUUUCAUUGUUACCCCUGGCAUCAGUUCUCACAAACAGAUUUAUGAGUAAAGCUCUACAGACACAGUAAGCCCAUUUAUUUUAACAAAGUGGCAAGAUUGUCUGAUUAAACUAUUUCUGAACAGCAAAACAAAAUCUUGCACAGUGAGUGUACCAGCAUAAAACCUUGAGCUAAUGUGUACUGAUGUUUUAUUUCCUUCCUCAUCUUUGCAUGAAAGUUCAUUGUAUCAUAACCAGUUCAGUAAAAAAGAAGAAUAAUUAAGUCAGAUCAUGAAGCUCUUGGAAAGUAGGCCAACCACUAGGUAGUAAAUUUGGAGAGAUCAGAUUCUACCCUCCAUUUUUUCUGGUUCAAAUCUGAAGAAAUCAUAUUAAAUCAGACUUACUAUAAACUAAAUUCUGAGAUUUUAUUGAUUUUUCUACCAGGGUGAGUGAAAACAAACCAAAGGCAUCUCUGAGUCCCACGGGCAUUCUGCAUAUGUGGAAAUGGUUGCUUCACUGAAUUAAAUAAUUUCUUUACAUAAUUGAUAUUUCAUAUUCAUUAUACAUUCACGAUCACUGUAUUAAAAUGAAAGUACAAGUGCCCAAACGCUCCCUUUGGUAACACCACUUAAGUCUGUGGAAAAAUGCUCAGAAUAAUAUUUUUCCCCCAGAAUUUCUCUUCUUUUUGCAGUUCUUUUGACCCUUAGGUUUGAUUUAGCUGGGGAGGCUAGAAACAACUCCACAUUAGACCACAGAAACUUUGUUUUAAAAAUAUCUAUUAAUUUAGAGGAGUAAUAAUUACAAUAAUACAUAUUUAAUACAUUAGUAACAUGACAUUCAGUCCUACCAGGUACCCCCAUGACAAGAACUUUGUUAUGUCCCCUUCAUGGAUGAAAGCAGGAAUUUGUUAAUUAACUUGGAGUUUUACUGCUAAUACAGACAAGCCAAGGUUUCACCUUCUACUUCAGUACAUCCCUCUACAAGCAUCAUUAGAACUUUGUUUUAGAAAGAAGAGUCUAUUUACAAAGAAGAUGAAACACUGAAUUUGCUUCCCUAAAACAGGUGAUUCAGGAAAAAAAAGCAGAGGAAUGUGCCAUUAGCGGUUCAUGAGCAUCCUGUUGCAUCUUUUAGCUCCAACUUAACUUGUUGGUUUCUCUGGUUAAUACGAAAGCUUUUAGCCCUGUUCCACUUGUGAUACCAUGAAACCAGCACUGUACUAGGGCACACCUGUCCUAGAAGUGCACCUGAAGGACCCCCUGAGAUAAUAACACAUUAUCUCAUUAUCCCUCUCCUCUACAGGCAGCUGGUGGAUGGAGUGAACUCCAAACCUACUGCCUGGUGCCAUCAAAGGAUAAAAUCCCAACAGUUUUAAAACACAGGUGUUUCCACUUGAGUCCAAAUUAUCCUUUUAAAAUCCUCUUCUAUUUUUUGCUAGAAUAUCCUCUCUGCUGAAAUAUAAUUUACAAACUAAAUAUUUAAAACCAGACAAAAUGAAGUCUGGAAGUUCUUAAUAUUCAGAAAUGCAGACAAAUGUGAUGCUCCCUUUUAAGUUGGGGACUGUAGAGGAGACUCCAGUUGUAAAACAAAGUUUUUUUGCUUAUUAAGCAAGGAUCCAGACUCCUUCUGUUGUACAUUAAACAGUGCAUGCCUCUGUAUAUUAAAGAGCUCAUUACCAUCUCUCUAAUAGAAUGGGAAAAUUCAAGCAUUUGUUACUUUUUGAAGUACAGUGAGGUGAAACUGUCUUUUAAGAGCUUUGCUUUCCUAUGUGGGUUGUUUCUUUUGAUCACAGCAAAGGAGAAUACACACUUUAAACUGUCAAGGGAAAUCUAUGUGUUAUACAUAGAAUUCACUUGCAUUAAUUAUCUUGCUGUAAAUUUAAGUUGCUAAUUAAAAGUCAUGCACAAGUGUUAUGAUUAAUUAGGUGACACACAAAGUGAGGACAAAAAUUCAGUAAAUGACACCAAAGAAUAAGGGAAAAAUGCAUGGGUUCAUAUGGUUUUUGGGGAUGGAAUGCAACUAUAAUUUUAUCUUAAAUGAUUACUUUUGUCUUCCUGCUUUGAUGCAUCAGUGAAUCUUCCUUGAAAUUCAAAAAAUAAGUGCUGAUUAAAGACAGAUCCAGCAAACAGAAACAAUGAAGAGUGUUGAUCAACAGCA